UGGGGAAUAUUGCACAAUGGGCGCAAGCCUGAUGCAGCCAUGCCGCGUGUGUGAAGAAGGCCUUCGGGUUGUAAAGCACUUUCAGCGAGGAGGAAGGUGGUGAGCUUAAUACGCUCAUCAAUUGACGUUACUCGCAGAAGAAGCACCGGCUAACUCCGUGCCAGCAGCCGCGGUAAUACGGAGGGUGCAAGCGUUAAUCGGAAUUACUGGGCGUAAAGCGCACGCAGGCGGUUUGUUAAGUCAGAUGUGAAAUCCCCGGGCUCAACCUGGGAACUGCAUUUGAAACUGGCAAGCUAGAGUCUCGUAGAGGGGGGUAGAAUUCCAGGUGUAGCGGUGAAAUGCGUAGAGAUCUGGAGGAAUACCGGUGGCGAAGGCGGCCCCCUGGACGAAGACUGACGCUCAGGUGCGAAAGCGUGGGGCAGCAAACAGGAUUAGAUACCCUGGUAGUCCAGCGCUGUAAAACGAUGUCGAUUUUGGAGGUUGUGCCCUUGAGGCGUGGCUUCCGGAGCUAACGCGUUAAAUCGACCGCCUGGGGAGUACGGCCGCAAGGUUAAAACUUAAAGGAAUUGACGGGGUCUAGCUG
RNAcentral lists this ribosomal RNA (583 nucleotides) under uncultured bacterium. RNAcentral's name for it is "partial 16S ribosomal RNA". It matches the Rfam family "Bacterial small subunit ribosomal RNA", at positions 355 to 926 of the family's 1533-position model. The record is from RNAcentral.